GGGGAUAUGGCUCAGUGGUAGAGCGCUUGCCUAGGAAGCGCAAGGCCCUGGGUUCGGUCCCCAGCUCCG
Molecule: transfer RNA, 69 nt
Filed under: Rattus norvegicus (Norway rat)
Lineage: Eukaryota; Metazoa; Chordata; Mammalia; Rodentia; Muridae
Rfam family: tRNA
About the family: Transfer RNA (tRNA) molecules are approximately 80 nucleotides in length. Their secondary structure includes four short double-helical elements and three loops (D, anti-codon, and T loops). Further hydrogen bonds mediate the characteristic L-shaped molecular structure. tRNAs have two regions of fundamental functional importance: the anti-codon, which is responsible for specific mRNA codon recognition, and the 3' end, to which the tRNAs corresponding amino acid is attached (by aminoacyl-tRNA synthetases). tRNAs cope with the degeneracy of the genetic code in two manners: having more than one tRNA (with a specific anti-codon) for a particular amino acid; and 'wobble' base-pairing, i.e. permitting non-standard base-pairing at the 3rd anti-codon position.
Source: Rfam by way of RNAcentral